This 468-nucleotide ribosomal RNA is filed under the name uncultured bacterium. RNAcentral's name for it is "partial 16S ribosomal RNA". It matches the Rfam family "Bacterial small subunit ribosomal RNA", at positions 28 to 507 of the family's 1533-position model. The record is from RNAcentral.
GACGAACGCUGGCGGCGUGCUUAACACAUGCAAGUCGAACGGAAAGGCCCUGCUUUUGUGGGGUGCUCGAGUGGCGAACGGGUGAGUAACACGUGAGUAACCUGCCCAUGACUUUGGGAUAACUUCAGGAAACUGGGGCUAAUACCGGAUAGGAGCUCCUGCUGCAUGGUGGGGGUUGGAAAGUUUCGGCGGUUGGGGAUGGACUCGCGGCUUAUCAGCUUGUUGGUGGGGUAGUGGCUUACCAAGGCUUUGACGGGUAGCCGGCCUGAGAGGGUGACCGGCCACAUUGGGACUGAGAUACGGCCCAAACUCCUACGGGAGGCAGCAGUGGGGAAUAUUGCACAAUGGGCGGAAGCCUGAUGCAGCAACGCCGCGUGCGGGAUGACGGCCUUCGGGUUGUAAACCGCUUUCGCCUGUGACGAAGCGUGAGUGACGGUAAUGGGUAAAGAAGCACCGGCUAACUACGUG